UAUGUGAUCGUCUCUCGCAUAUCAAUAAGCGGAGGAAAAGAAACUAACAAGGAUUCCCCUAGUAACGGCGAGUGAAGCGGGAAGAGCUCAAAUUUGAAAUCUUAAAGGGUUUCCCUUUACGAAUUGUAGUUUAAAGAAGUGUUUUCUGUUGAGGUUUUGGUAAAAGUUCUUUGGAAUAGGACAUCAUAGAGGGUGAGAAUCCCGUAUUUGACCUUUACUUUCAACUUUGUGAUACACUUUCAAAGAGUCGGAUUGUUUGGGAAUGCAGUCCAAAAUGGGUGGUAAAUUUCAUCUAAAGCUAAAUAUUGGCGAGGGACCGAUAGCGAACAAGUACCGUGAGGGAAAGAUGAAAAGAACUUUGAAAAGAGAGUUAAACAGUACGUGAAAUUGUCAAAAGGGAAGCGUUUGACACCAGUGUUGUUUUUCUGAAAAUCAAUUAAAGAACUGUUUAUGCUAAGCUGUUUAGACUUUAUCAGCUAACUGUUUAGUUUUGAGCUUUUCUUUAAUGCACUUUUCAGUUAACAAGUCAACAUCAAUUUCUUUUGCUGUAAAAAAGCUUGAGGAAGGUGGCUUGAGAUCCGUCUUAAGUGUUUAUAGCCUCUUGCCUAUGCAGUCGGAGAGAUUGAGGUACUGCAGCGUAGACUCCUUCGGGGGUUAGAUACGCUUGUGCUAAGCUAUAGCCUUGUAUAGACAACUUGUUGACUAUGCUCAGUCAUGUAGCUUACUCGCUUGUGCUAUUUUACCUACGCUUAGGAUGUUGACACACGCGCGUGCUCG
RNAcentral lists this ribosomal RNA (777 nucleotides) under uncultured Neocallimastigales. RNAcentral's name for it is "partial large subunit ribosomal RNA". It matches the Rfam family "Eukaryotic large subunit ribosomal RNA", at positions 24 to 643 of the family's 3401-position model. Lineage: Eukaryota; Fungi; Neocallimastigomycota; Neocallimastigomycetes; Neocallimastigales. The record is from RNAcentral.